UUUUUUUUUUUUUUUUAGUCUUUUUGCCAUUUUUUGGGCCGCUCCUGCAGCAUAUGCAGGUUCCCAGGCUAGUGGUCAAAUCAGAGCUGUAGCCAUCGGCCUACACCACAGCCCCAGCAACGCGGGAUCCAAGCCAUGUCUGCAACCUACACCACAGCUCACGGCAACGGUGGAUCCCUAACCCACUGAGCAAGGCCAGGGAUCGAACCCACAACCUCAUGCUUCCUAGUCAGAUUCGUUAACCACUGCGCCACGACGGGAACUCCGAAAGUAUUACUUUCUUGCCCUAAAGGUAUUACAGUCAGGAGAGGGAGAUUGACCAGCAAACAGGUAAUUCAAAGGCACUGUGAUCUGUACAUGUACUAAGAGAGUCCAUGAGAGGUACAUGGAUCCCGGACUGUACCAGUCAGAACAUACGAAGCGAAGGAUUAAGGGAGAACUGGGCAGUGUUGAAUCUGCAUGAUCCAGAGAGAAACACCCAAUGUGACCAAGACAGACUUUCAGUCAUGGGAAAAGCAUCUCCAUGAGUGAAGGAGAGAUGGCUGACUAGGUCCUUCCACAGGCUAAUGAAAUCAGUGCUCACUAACCAACACUCUUAUUAUUAGUUUACCUUACCAAGUACCCUAAUUCCAGCAAAGGAACACCACUGCAAGAGGAAAACACGCACAUUCCAGAUGCUGGAAGUGAACGGCCCACUCUGGAAACUGCUUAAGCCUCUUGUGAGGAGAUUGCCCUGAAUCACCUUCCUGAUGCUUUUCAGCUCUGAGGGACUGACCGAGCUGAGGGCCAGACUGGGGGGGGCUUGCAAAACUCACCACAGGUAAUGUCACCUCUGAGGCCUCCGAGAGCUGAUUUUCAGCCUUCUCUUGGCUGCACUCUAACCCGCUCAAGAACCUCUCUGCAACUUUUUAACAGUGAGCACGAACUAGAUGCCAUCAACUAGCUUGGUGGAAACAUAAAACCCAUUUUCUUUUUAUGACAACAUCUCCUUUCCUUUGACAAACCCAGUUACUGCCCACUAGCAAAAAAAAAAAAAGAAAAAAGAAAAACUAAAUUUGGUCCAAUCAGAAAACAUGGUCCAGACCAGUAAAUUUUCUACUUGUUUCUAACUUAAAAUUGAGCAUCUCUUGGGAAAAUAUUCAAUUCAAUGCAGGUAUUAUUAUUAUUAUUACCUGUCACUGUCCAGCUGAGUGUUCCUUCUCUCUGCCUACAAUUUUCCUCCUCUCCAAUGGACUGAAUAUUCGUGUCCUACCCCAAAUGUAUAUGUUGAAAUCCUAAUCCUCAAUGUGAUGAUAUUAGAAGGUGGGGCCUCUGGUAGGCAAUUAGGUCAAGAGGGCAGAGUCCUUAAAUAGAAUUAGCAACCUUAUACAAGAGACCCUAGAGACCCCCAUAGCCCCCUUCCACCACUUGGGGACACAGUAAGACAGCCAUCUCUAAAUCAGAAACUAGAUUCUUACCAGACACCAAAUCCUCCAGUAUCUUGAUCUUGGACCCUGCAGCUUCCAGAGCUGUGAGAAGUACAUUUCUAUUGUUUACAAGCCACACAGUUGGUAGCUUGUUACAGCAUCCCAGGUGGACUAAGUUACCUCUAUCCAUCUAACUCUCAGGAGGCCUCUGGCCCAUCACCUGUGUGGUAUAAGACCUAAAAUUAAGACCCAAUGGUAUGUGUUGCUUUUUAAAAUCGGGGAGGCCCUCCAAGAGCCUGAUUCCAAAUUCUCCUCCCUGCUCUGCUCUGUGUAGUCUGCCCCCGAGGCAAACAACCUCCGGAGGCGGGGACCAGCACAGGUGCUGCUUAUCCUCAGCAGCAGAUUUCAAUUCCCAGCCCACCCACAGAAUCACUGAAGGAAGGUAAUCACAUCAUGCCAUGGGUCCCAUCGCCCUCUUGGUCCUACAAAGGCUGCCUUCCACCAUCUCUGGUUGUUUACUUAGUUCCAGAGCACAACCCUAGGUGGCCUGCCAUGGCUUGCAGGGCCCCUCCUGGGGCUAUGGGUAUCUGUAAGGAAUGAAUCUCAUCUGUCCAGUGCUGGGUGUCCUGUGUUUGGUCACCUUCAUAAGUCUAGAGCAGGAAUCCCUCUCCCACCAACAGGGUAAAUAAGAGGCGAUGAAAACACCCAGCAGCGGCAGCGGCAGCGGGAAGGAACGGAGCUCUCAGUUACAUGACUGCCUGUGCGCUGGGUGUGGGGAGCUUUCUUCAUCUCAAUCUGGCUGCCAGACUCCUUAGUCUUGUCACUGACACAGGUAUUUUAUCACUGCUGAUUCUCUGGAGUGGUCCUUUAGAUGGUCUACAGCAGUCUAGAAAGGCCUUGCGGCAGUGUCCUGGGCGGUCCUAUAAGGAGAACCCUUAGCAGGAGGUCUGUCCCACAGACUUAGCAUUUGAGGUCUUAGCCCCACUGGAAGCCUCUUGUUUUCACGUACCUGAAAAGCCAACCAGGAUCUCAGCUACCUUCCUACUGACUCCAAAGCCAGAGGAAACCUAGGAAUUUCCCCAGGCUGAGCUUGGCUCCAGAGAAAGCUAACGGUGACCUUUUGCUUCUUCUGAGUCACGUUACCAUCUCAUCCGGGUCCUUCAUGCUCCAAAGGCAACAGAGGGCUCUGCAAAGUCUGAUGCUCAGUAAACUUUAGAAAUGGUGUAUCUGUUUCUUACUUGCUAGUCUCAAGGUGCAUCACUAAAAAUGAUGGUUUAAAAUAUGGUUCCCAUGUGUGGACAUGUGGUCAGAAUAAAUCUGUGCAUUCAAAUGCCUUCUUUUUCUCCCUUCCGCCACCCAUCCUUCCCUUCCUAGCCAUGCUUCGCAAGUGUUUUUGUGCUCACUUUCUUUACUUCCUUUGUUGUUCCUCUUUACCCUUUGUUACAAUCUGACUCCAUUCCCUGGAACUCCUCUCCGUAAGGUCAUCAUUUAUCUUCAAACUGUCAAAUUCAGUGACAGUGUACGUCCUGCUUUCCUUUGACCCCACUGUGGCAUUUGACACUGCUGUCCUCUCUCUCCUCCAAACUCACUGUAGCAUUAGUGACACCAUGCUUGCCUAGCUGGCCACCUCCUUCUCCGAUCAUUUUCCAGUCUCUUGCAAAGUAGGCUUUUGCAGCGAUGCCUCCGGUGAUGGUGCCACUGAUGCUCGGGGACUGAUUCUCUGUCCUGUGCUCCUCUGUUCAAGUGUGGUCUCAUGUUGAAGUCUCUGCUCUCCUUCAAUGCGCACUUACCACCCAGUGCCUCCAACCCCUUACAGACAGCUCGGACAUCACCGCGGGGCUCUGGACCCACAAAGUCUCCUCUGUCUUUGACAUUUCUGACUGACAGUUGCUGAAUCACUUCCAUUCAACAUGAAUUAAAACAUCUUAUUCCCCUAACUGAAGGUCCAGUCAUUCCCUCAGUUCCAGUCAUUCUAGACUCCGUUCCUUCUAUCCCCAUCUCCUAAAUGUAGGGUUUUACUUCCUAAAUAUGUUAGGGCUCAUCUUCCUGCUUGCCUAUCACACUGCAUGACUUUAGACCCUCAUUUCUUUUCGUCUAGAGUAUUGUGCUGUCAGCAUCCAGGCUGUACAAAUCCUUUCUCGUACCCAAUCUCCAGGGUGAUUUUCUAGAUCUGUAAAUCUGCUCCUGUCAGGCCACUUUCCUGCCUCAAACCCUUUAGGCUCCUAUCACUUUCAGGACAGAAGUCAAACACUUCAGCCUGGCACACAGGCCCAUCAUGAUCCAGAGGCGAGAGGUUCACACGCAUCACACUUACUAGUAAGGACGUAGACAAGUUACUUCCGCUUUCUAUGCCUCACCUACCUCUCUCUGCAAAUGGAGGCAUGACUAGCACGUAAGCGAUACGAAUGUCGGGAGGACUGACUGAAAAGGCAUGUAAAGUAGCUAUGCUAGUCCCAGCAUAGGGCAAGCAACUCAUUUCUGACACUAUCUUUAUUACCAUGCUUCUAAUUCUUCUCUUCUCCUCCCUUUGGUCAUAUUGGUCUGCUUCACAUUUCUGAAAACAGCCUGUGAUUUCAUUCUUUUGGACUUUUUUACUAUGAUGCUUCCUCUGCUUGUAAUGCCUUUCUCCUAUUCUUUAUCUAGCUAACACACACUUACUUUAAAAACUGUUUUUGGGAGUUCCUGUUGUGGCUCAGUGAAAACAAAUCUGACCAGUAUCCAUGAGGAUGCUGGUUUGAUCCCUGGACUCACUCAGUGGGUUAAGGAUCUGGUGUUGCCAUGAGUUGUGAUGUAGGUCGCAGAUGUGGCUUGGAUCCCGUGUUGUUGUGGCUGUGGUGUAGGCCGGCAGCUACAGCUCCGAUUCAACCUCUAGCCUGGGAACUUCUAUUUGCCACAGAUGCAGCCCUAAAAAGCAAACAAACAAAAAACUCUUCUUCUGCCACUUCUUCCAGGAAGCCUUCCCUUGACUAUGCCACUUCAAUCUGAUAGCUUCUUUUGUGCUUCCAUGGCUCUUUAUUAGAUACACUUAUCCCAGGACACAACACUCUACAUAUGACUUGAUUAUAUGCCUAUUUCCUACACAGGACUGUGCGUUCCUUAAAGACAGGAUACAACUUUAUGUACUUAGCUCUAAGAAUAAGGCUUGACACUCUUGAAGUAGGGGUUUAAGAGAGGAUUAUUGGGUGAUUUUAAAAAGUAGUCAUUUCAUUUCAUCAGGUGCUCAGAGAUUCCAGACCACCUUUGCUUCAGAAAUCACCUUCCUCCAAAAUUAUUUUUGAUCUCUUUCCUUCCUCUACUAAAAAUCCCCAAUUCUAAGCAGCACUAUUAGCUUACUGUCAGUUAUGAAACUGAGCUAAUCAACUGAUUAUUAGUUACAGUUCAAUACACUUCUGAAGAGUAUAUGUAUUUUCAAACGAAGCACUUAUUAAGAAAAGAGAAUGAUUUUUUUUUUAGUGAAGGGAUUUUAAAAAGUACAGCAGGAGAAAGGGAGUAAGUAGUAUGAUAAGGCAGGGCAGAUAUAUUCUACAUGGUAAUAUCUUCGUGUUCUUCAUAUAACAUCAAGUGAUUAUCCAGCCUCUGUAAGUAAGACUGAGGGCCGCUGUAUAAGGAGUUGGGCUAGGAAAGCAUCAAGAAAACUUUCAUAAUUAAGCUAACUGCUGAGACACUUGAGUGAUAUCAGUAAUAUAACAGCAGUACAACAAUAUAAAAAUAAAAUCUUGUGGGUUUCUUUUCUUUUCUUUUUAAGGCUGUGCCUGUGGCAUAUGGAAGUUCCCAGGCUAGGGUUGGAAUCUGAGCUUCAGCAGCAGACCUACACCACAGCCACAGCAGCACCAGAUCCGAGCCACAUCUGCCACCUAUGCUGCAGCUGGAGGUGAUGCCGGAUCCUUAACUCACUGAGCGAAGCUAGGGAUUGAACCCGCAUCCUCCCAGACACUAUGUUGGGUUCUUAACCCACAGAGACAGAACGGGAACUUCAAAGAAUAAAAUCUUGAUAGAUGCUACAACAUGCUAAGUGAAAGAAGCUAGAUACAAAAUGCCAAACAUACAGUAUUUAAUUCUAUUUAUAUGAAGUGUCCUGAAUAGGCAAAUCCACAGAGACAGGAAAUAGAUUAGUAGUUGCCAGGGGCUGGAGGAACGGAGUGACUUCUAAUGAGUACAGUUUUCUUUUGGGGCUGAUAAAAAUGUUCUGGAAUUACACAGUAGUGAUCAGUACACAAUCUUGUGACUAACUAAAAGCCACUGAAUGGUACACUUUAGAUAGGUCAAUUUCAUAGUAUGCCAAUUAUAUUUCAAUAAAAAUAUAUGAGAAAAAAAGAUACAUCAAAAAAAAAACACCAACAGAAAAAACAGCAUUAGGUAUUAAUAACUGCAAUUAGAGGGUCCAGAAGUCAAAUCACAGAUUCUAAAUAUAAAGAAUUAUAUAGCCAGCGAUUUUAGCAGCUUAUAUAUUUUUCCAUUUCACCAGUUCCCUGUAUAGCGUAUCCAUUCACUCAUAGACUCUAAAAAUUGUAAUUGUCACUUACUUAUUGUAUGUUUGUACUUUAAUCUUUCAAUUUAUUUAUUUAUUUUUUGUCUUUUGUCUUUUUAGGGCCGCACCCUCGGCAUAUAGAGGUUCCCAGGCUAGGGGUCCAAUCAGAGCUACGGCUGCCAGCUACAGCACCGCCACAGCAACACCAGAUUCGAGCCCUGUCUUCGACGUACACCACAGCUCAUGGCAACACUGGAUCCUUAACCCACUGAGCCAGGCCAGGGAUCAAACCUGAAACCUCAUAGUUCCUAGUUGGACUUGCCUCUGCUGC
RNAcentral lists this long non-coding RNA (6205 nucleotides) under Sus scrofa (pig). RNAcentral's name for it is "lncRNA (ENSSSCG00015000154.1)". The record is from RNAcentral. Lineage: Eukaryota; Metazoa; Chordata; Mammalia; Artiodactyla; Suidae.